AGCGAACGCUGGCGGCAGGCUUAACACAUGCAAGUCGAGCGGGCACUUUCGGGUGUCAGCGGCGGACGGGUGAGUAACGCGUGGGAACGUGCCCUCUGGUUCGGAAUAACUCAGGGAAACUUGAGCUAAUACCGGAUACGCCCUUUUGGGGAAAGGCUUGCUGCCGGAGGAUCGGCCCGCGUCUGAUUAGCUAGUUGGUGAGGUAACGGCUCACCAAGGCGACGAUCAGUAGCUGGUCUGCGAGGAUGAUCAGCCACACUGGGACUGAGACACGGCCCAGACUCCUACGGGAGGCAGCAGUGGGGAAUAUUGGACAAUGGGCGCAAGCCUGAUCCAGCCAUGCCGCGUGAGUGAUGAAGGCCUUAGGGUUGUAAAGCUCUUUUAUCCGGGACGAUAAUGACGGUACCGGAGGAAUAAGCCCCGGCUAACUUCGUG
Molecule: ribosomal RNA, 435 nt
Filed under: uncultured bacterium
Lineage: Bacteria
Description: partial 16S ribosomal RNA
Rfam family: Bacterial small subunit ribosomal RNA
Source: RNAcentral